RNAcentral lists this ribosomal RNA (484 nucleotides) under uncultured bacterium. Its description in RNAcentral is "partial 16S ribosomal RNA". It matches the Rfam family "Bacterial small subunit ribosomal RNA", at positions 30 to 507 of the family's 1533-position model. The record is from RNAcentral.
AUUGAACGCUGGCGGCAGGCCUAACACAUGCAAGUCGAGCGGAUGAAGGGAGCUUGCUCCUGGAUUCAGCUGCGGACGGGUGAGUAAUGCCUAGGAAUCUGCCUGGUAGUGGGGGAUAACGUCCGGAAACGGGCGCUAAUACCGCAUACGUCCUUAGGGAGAAAGUGGGGGAUCUUCGGACCUCACGCUAUCAGAUGAGCCUAGGUCGGAUUAGCUAGUUGGUGGGGUAAAGGCCUACCAAGGCGACGAUCCGUAACUGGUCUGAGAGGAUGAUCAGUCACACUGGAACUGAGACACGGUCCAGACUCCUACGGGAGGCAGCAGUGGGGAAUAUUGGACAAUGGGCGAAAGCCUGAUCCAGCCAUGCCGCGUGUGUGAAGAAGGUCUUCGGAUUGUAAAGCACUUUAAGUUGGGAGGAAGGGCAGUAAGUUAAUACCUUGCUGUUUUGACGUUACCAAAAGAAUAAGCACCGGCUAACUUCGUG